Molecule: long non-coding RNA, 2300 nt
Filed under: Felis catus (domestic cat)
Lineage: Eukaryota; Metazoa; Chordata; Mammalia; Carnivora; Felidae
Description: lncRNA (ENSFCAG00000044948.2)
Source: RNAcentral
UUGUUUUUUGUUUAUAACUAAGCUCCACAACUGACAUGGGACUCAGACUCACAACUCAUAGAUCAAGAGUCGUGUGCUCUACCUACUGAGCCAGCCAGGCGCCCCUGAAGAGUAUUUUCUUAGAUUUAUAAAGUUGGGCUAACACUCUACACACAUUCAGACUAAGUUCUGCUGCUUCCUUUAAGAUGCAGAAGUUAUUAAGUUGAUGAACCGUUAAGAUUUGAAUAUCUGGCAGGUGUAGAUUUUGCAUGCUACUAUAUUUACUUUCAUAAUUUUCCCCUUUUUUCUUCUGAUAUUCUCUCCCUAAAAGAGAAGGAAGUAAGAGGAUCAUAUGAGCAUCUAACUCUGGUUCACACUUGAGAUUGUCACUUCCACUUUCAAAAGAAGAGCAACUCGUAUCAUUUGCAACGUUAAUCAGAAUGUGGGUUUGCUAAUGUUUUUCUCUUCCUUCAGCAAUUUUCCAUAUUCCUAAAAAGUACCUCUAGAUUGAAAUAACACUUUAAAUGAGCAUGCCUGUUUAUGUGUUAAAGACAGAUGGAGAAGGAGAAAGGAGGGGGAUAAUUAAAAGGAGAUGGAAAAUAUAUUGACAUUUAAAUGUUCUUUCCUUUCAAGUGUUCAUCCUACAUCCCCCUUCAUUUGUGCUAAGACGAAGGAGGCAGUGGAGACAUUCCUAGUUCAUAUCUGGCAUUCCCUAUGGGCUCACUAAGGGGUUGAUAAUCUGCUUCCCUAACCCAAGAGUAAGAGAAAAUAGAAUGAGGACCAGGGGAAGAAGGGCCAAAGAAUACUGGUUUAGUCAUGAUCGUCCUAUGUCGACAUAGCACAUUCUAUCACCAGAGCCUCUAAUAGCAGCAGCUACUAUUGUGCACACACGGGUGCCUGUGUAUGUGCCAGAUAUAGCACAGUCAGGGUAUGUGACAGAAUGGAAAGAAACUUAAGGGAAGAUUCUCGUGACAGACCUACAGAUAAGACAGAGGGAGCUACAGACUGACAUGAAAGACUUUAAAAAAAGCAUCCAAUGGAGUAAGAAAAAACCCUGUAAAGAAAUAGAACCUGUGAUAAGAUUCAGAAAUAAAAGCAAUCAUCUGAAUGUAAUAGCAAGUUACAAAGUUACUGUUCUUCAUACUGCUGCUCUAUUUAGACAGAAGACCACAAUGAACAACAAAAUUGCACACUUCUGGUGGUGAAAAAGGCAAACUAGGAGACUCUUCACCAAUGACCACCAAGACUCCAGCCUAGUACAAAUCAGGGGCCAUCCAGGAAUACAGAUAAAACACCCCUGGAGGAUUUUAAUGGGAGUUGUCUCCACACUGAGAACACACUAAACCAAAAGACUCAGUCUGAAAGAAGACAGGCUGUGGUCUAGAUUUCUCAACUUUCGUAUGUUUACAUCAACAGAAAAGCAACCACUAGACCAAAGAAGAAUGAUUUGAGACGUCAAGGGAAUGGAGUUUCACUUUCCUGACCUCCAUUUAUUAAGCAAUAGUGAUGAACAAAGCAAAAUAGACAAUUUGGAAACAAUGUCAAGGACUUCCUAAAAUAAUUAUGUCUGGCCUACCACUAUAGGUAUAUAAACUUGAGAAAAAGAUUUGAUACAAUACAGUCUCCUGUAGAUUUCCCCUUUUAUAUUGUAUCCAACUCUCUCCAAGCAGUUAUAAAAAGAAUAUCCCAACCACUUUGCUUCCAUGUUCUUAUCUGAAAAAUGUCAUCUGGCAUGAACUAAGAUAACAUGUAGGAAGCACUUAAAAUACCUGCCACAACAAACAUUGCUGUUCUCUAUCUUCACUUCCCAUCAGAGAGAAUCAAUCCACUGAGGAGAGGCUACCUAAUUAGAAACCAUCUAAUUUAUCAAAUCUUCUAAAGUGAUGCACAUUGAUGUUGAGCAGCCAUCACUAACAAAACAAUGAAAAUAAUUAUUAACAUGUAUUGUUUAUUGCUAUAGAUCCACCAUUUAGGGAUUAAAUAGGUAUCAGUUUGAAUUUUGAUAAAAUAAUACACACAUAGCCAACACUCAAAUCUUAACGUGAAACUAGGCUCUAAAACCCAUAGAAAGGAUGGGAGGGUACCAAAGAGAAAACAGCAAGAUUUAUACAUCAAAGCACUUGCUCUAUCAUUUUUUCUUUAAUGAGAACAUUGGAAUUGAGAACUUCUGAAAUUCUGCGAAGAGUCUUCGGCUGCACCUAAAAAGAAAAACGAAAAAUAACGUGGGCACUAGGGGAAAAUAUAAAAAGCAUGCAGAAGUUUCGAAAAAAGGAAGAAAAAAUCUGAAUAAAGGAUCUCCUCAGAGGAUGAGUGAAGGGAAU